GUUAGGAGCAGAGCUGGGGUGGGAGGGGUCUUUGGAAAGCUGUUUGGAGAAGGUGUGACUUGCACACAGUCAUGAAGAAAUGUUAUAUGGGGAUGGCAAAGAAGAAAGAAGGGAGGGAGUUCUCUGGCAGUCCAGUGAUUAAGACUCCAUGCUCCCAAGUGGUUAAGAAUCCGCCUGCCGGUGCAGUGCAGAUUUCCAUCCCUGGUCUGCGAAGAUUCCACCUGCCCGGGAGGCAACUAAGCCCUUGUGCCACAACUACUGAGCCUGUGCUCUGGAGCCCACAAGCCGCAAAUACUGAAGACUACGUGCCCUACAGCCCUUGCUCCGCAACAAGAGAAGCCACCGCAAUGGGAAGGCUGUGCACCCCAAUGAAGAAUAGCCCCUGCUCGCUACAACUAGAGAAAGCCUGCAUGCAGCAACAAAGACCCAGAGCAGCCAGAAAUUAAUAAAAUUUUAAAACAAACAAACCAAAAAACCCCCAGUGAGCUCCUGAGUCAGCAGCCCAGCCAUGGUGGCUGCUCCUGGCUGUGAUGGGUUCAGCUCUGCCCCAUCUGUUUCUUAUCCCAGGACCUGGGUUGAAGGAGCAGUGGCUGCAGGAGGCGUGCUCUUCUCAGGCUGCAAGGCUGAAGCCGAGGAGGCCAAGUCAUCCAAGCAAGCACAUUUGAGACCUCUGCCUGGAUGUGGACGAGCGACAUUCCAUCGGGCUUUAAGCUCCAUGGGAAUGGAGUACCCUGCACUUGCAUCCGCCACAUUCAGGCUCUGAAUUCAGGGCUGGAUUGAGCUCAGGGCAAGAAAGAUUUUCCACCUGGGUUCGCCAGGGAGGCCCCUCUGUGCUGCCGAGAGGCCCCCACAGGGCAAGCCAGCAGUGCCCCUGAGCUUGGCUUGCUCACACGAAAGCAGGAAUGACCUCGAUCAUGGUGUCUCGGCAGUGUUGGAGCCGGCACGGCCUGCUGGGCUCAGCCUCAGGACGGGAGCUGCCAUGCCGUCUGCCUUCUCCAUGCCAGCCGUCACCCCAGUCUGUCAUCCCCAGGGAAUCUAUUAGCAUCUCUCGACUUGCACAAGGCUUGGUAAAUCAGGCUCCCUGUGUGGCAGUAUUCACUGGAGACCAGAGAAAGGGACCCGGAGA
Long non-coding RNA from Bos taurus (domestic cattle), 1126 nucleotides. The record is from Ensembl. NCBI's taxonomy places the organism in Eukaryota, Metazoa, Chordata, Mammalia, Artiodactyla, Bovidae.